Molecule: ribosomal RNA, 249 nt
Filed under: uncultured bacterium
Lineage: Bacteria
Description: partial 16S ribosomal RNA
Rfam family: Bacterial small subunit ribosomal RNA
Source: RNAcentral
GCAAGUCGAACGAUUAAAGCACCUUCGGGUGUGUAUAAAGUGGCGAACGGCUGAGUAACACGUGGGCAACCUGCCCCUCUCAUUGGGAUAGCCACGGGAAACCGUGGAUACUACCGAAUACUUCGAGACUUCCGCAUGGAAGACUCGAGAAAGCUCCGGCGGAGAGGGAUGGGCCCGCGGCCUGUUAGCUUGUUGGUGAGGUAACGGCCUACCAAGGCAAUGAUGGGUAGCUGGGUUGAGAGACCGACC